This 616-nucleotide long non-coding RNA is filed under the name Vulpes vulpes (red fox). RNAcentral describes it as "lncRNA (ENSVVUG00000015559.1)". The record is from RNAcentral. Lineage: Eukaryota; Metazoa; Chordata; Mammalia; Carnivora; Canidae.
GGGAGGCGAGGUGGCACGCCGCGAGGAGCAGCACGGCCACCAGCGCCAGCACCUUGGCGCUCCUCACGCUGAAGUAGUGGUUGAUCUCCCGCUUGCCCAGGAGGUAAUAGAGAUAAAGAGGACGGGAAAAGGAGACACAAUGGAGCAGCCAUAAUAGUAGGAGGAGCAGUUUUGAGGCAUCCUGAAAAUGCAUUCCCAGGACAUUGUCCCAGGCUGCAGAGGAAUUUGGUUCCUGAGUCUCCUCACACAUUCAGAAAAUAUUGCAUAUUCUAUGUUAUAGAAACAAUAAGUGCAAAAAUAUAUUUAAAAAGAGCUCAUACAAGAGAGGAGAUCGAGGAGACCCAAUGCAAUGUGACUUCUUGUCAAGCCCAGACAACUUGCUACCCUGUUCUCUCAAGAGAAGGAUAAACACAUGGGAAUGACACAAGUCUACCCACUUGGGAUCCUAUUGAUUUUCACAUGCUAUUUUCCCUUCUGCUUGCCUCCCCCACCGAUUUCUCACUCCCUGCUAUUUCUUUCACUGCCAGCAUGGCAGAGAAAAAAAAAUGUGGUUAUCGGCCCAUGAUGGUGGAUAUUGUACAUAUUGGUACUUUGAAUAAGGUUUUCUAUUUCUGUU